AACGCACAUUGCGCUUUUGGGAUAUUCCCAAGAGCAUGCUUAUCUGAGUGUUCCUGAACCCCACUCAGCCACUGCUGCAUGUGAAAGCGCUUGCGGUGAGCUGGUCUGUGAUAGUGCGUGGCCUUCCGGGCCGAGCUCUGUUGAAAUUAAUCAGUUUGUUGCCAUGCCUGAGCGGCCUCGGCCGUGGGUCUGAAGCGAACGCGACAAAAGAUUUGGUAGAUGCACUGACGUGUGUUUCUCAUCUAGCGUUGCGAGCGCGGAAGCCAAGCGAGCAUGUCAGUGAGGUGGGCCUGCCGACGCGUAGCUUGUCUCCGCCGGAGGGUGCCCGAAAUGAAUGUAACUCAUUUAUGAAUCUCAGAUUAAGUAAGACCACCCGCUGAAUUUUA
RNAcentral lists this unclassified non-coding RNA (386 nucleotides) under uncultured fungus. Its description in RNAcentral is "partial contains ITS1, 5.8S rRNA and ITS2". Lineage: Eukaryota; Fungi. The record is from RNAcentral.